This is a long non-coding RNA of Astatotilapia calliptera (eastern happy), 2182 nucleotides long. NCBI's taxonomy places the organism in Eukaryota, Metazoa, Chordata, Actinopteri, Cichliformes, Cichlidae. The record is from Ensembl.
AAAGGGGUUGUUUUACUGUUAUUUUAAUAUCAGCAUUAUUAGUGUAUGAGAAUCAUGCAACAAGCAUUGCAUCGAUGAUCAUUUAUUGAAGCUUUUGACCUUAUAUAUUAUAAUAUAUUUUCUCCUACUGUGCAUGCUGCUGAGUGACUGCUGCUCGUCAAACACAUUUAAUUGCAAUGUUGACCCUGUGCUAACUUGCAUAUGACAAAUAAAUCUGAAAACUGAAACUAAACUAAGGAAAGAAGGAUGGAAGGAAGGAUCACAUGCAUUGUCACAAAGGAAAGAAGGAUGGAAGGAAGGAUCACAAGCAUUGUCACAAAGGAAAGAAGGAUGGAAGGAAGGAUCACAAGCAUUGUCACAAUGCAUUGUCACAAAGGAAAGAACGAUGGAAGGCAGGAUGACAUGCAAUGUCACAAAGGAAAGAAGGAUGGAAGGAAGAAUCACAUGCAUUGUCACAAAGGAAAGAAGGAUGGAAGGAAGGAUCACAUGCAUUGUCACAAAGGAAAGAAGGAUGGAAGGAAGGAAAGACCACAAGGUUUGUCACAAAGGAAAGAAGGAUGGAAGGAAAGAUCACAAGCUUUGUCACAAAGGAAAGAAGGAUGGAAGGAAGGAUCACAAGCUUUGUCACAAAGGAAAGAAGGAUGGAAGGAAGGAUCACAUGCAUUGUCACAAAGGAAAGAAGGAUGGAAGGAAGGAUCACAAGCAUUGUCACAAAGGAAAGAAGGAUGGAAGGAAGGAUCACAUGCAUUGUCACAAAGGAAAGAAGGAUGGAAGGAAGGAUCACAUGCAUUGUCACAAAGGAAAGAAGGAUGGAAGGAAGGAUCACAAGCAUUGUCACAAAGGAAAGAAGGAUGGAAGGAAGGAUGACAUGCUAUGUCACAAAGGAAAGAAGGAUGGAAGGAAGGAAAGAUCACAAGCUUUGUCACAAGUGCAAUACUUUAAUUUUCUGCUGCUCAUUCCUGUGCAAUAUCCCAUCUGCCCUCCCGUCAUAUUUCUUUUCAAGAUUUUCUUAUUUAAUCACUAAUGUACAUAUAUUUAUAUUUAUAGAUACAUAUAUAUUCAGUCAUCUUUUCUCUUUUACCAUGUCUCUCUAAUAUUUUGCUCCUUACUAUUUUUCUAUUUUCUUUAUUAUUUUAUUUUAUUUUAAUAUAUUUUCUCCUACUGUGCAUGCUGCUGAGUGACUGCUGCUCGUCAAACACAUUUAAUUGCAAUGUUGACCCUGUGCUAACUUGCAUAUGACAAAUAAAUCUGAAAACUGAAACUAAACUAAGGAAAGAAGGAUGGAAGGAAAGAUCACAAGCUUUGUCACAAAGGAAAGAAGGAUGGAAGGAAGGAUCACAAGCAUUGUCACAAAGGAAAGAAGGAUGGAAGGAAGGAUGACAUGCAUUGUCACAAAGGAAAGAAGGAUGGAAGGAAGGAUCACAAGCAUUGUCACAAAGGAAAGAAGGAUGGAAGGAAGGAUCACAUGCAUUGUCACAAAGGAAAGAACGAUGGAAGGCAGGAUGACAUGCAUUGUCACAAAGGAAAGAAGGAUGGAAGGAAGAAUCACAUGCAUUGUCACAAAGGAAAGAAGGAUGGAAGGAAGGAUCACAUGCAUUGUCACAAAGGAAAGAAGGAUGGAAGGAAGGAUCACAAGCUUUGUCACAAAGGAAAGAAGGAUGGAAGGAAGGAUCACAUGCAUUGUCACAAAGGAAAGAAGGAUGGAAGUCAAGAAGGAUCACAAGCAUUGUCACAAAGGAAAGAAGGAUGGAAGGAAGGAUCACAUGCAUUGUCACAAAGGAAAGAAGGAUGGAAGGAAGGAUCACAUGCAUUGUCACAAAGGAAAGAAGGAUGGAAGGAAGAAUCACAUGCAUUGUCACAAAGGAAAGAAGGAUGGAAGGAAGGAUCACAAGCAUUGUCACAAAGGAAAGAAGGAUGGAAGGAAGGAUCACAUGCAUUGUCACAAAGGAAAGAAGGAUGGAAGGAUGGAUCACAAGCUUUGUCACAAAGGAAAGAAGGAUGGAAGGAAGGAUCACAAGCUUUGUCACAAAGGAAAGAAGGAUGGAAGGAAGGAUCACAUGCAUUGUCACAAAGGAAAGAAGGAUGGAAGGAAGGAUCACAAGCUUUGUCACAAAGGAAAGAAGGAUGGAAGGAAGGAUCACAUGCAUUGUCACAAAGGAAAGAAGGAUGGAAGGAAGGAUCA